This 81-nucleotide transfer RNA is filed under the name Paragonimus skrjabini miyazakii. RNAcentral's name for it is "Paragonimus miyazakii tRNA". It matches the Rfam family "tRNA". Rfam says of the family: Transfer RNA (tRNA) molecules are approximately 80 nucleotides in length. The record is from Rfam by way of RNAcentral. Lineage: Eukaryota; Metazoa; Platyhelminthes; Trematoda; Plagiorchiida; Troglotrematidae.
GGCUUGGUAGCUCAGCUGGUAGAGCGCUUGCCACGUUGGGGCAUGGAGUUUCUGUAGCUGGUUCGAACCCAGCCGAAGUCC